This 492-nucleotide ribosomal RNA is filed under the name uncultured bacterium. RNAcentral's name for it is "partial 16S ribosomal RNA". It matches the Rfam family "Bacterial small subunit ribosomal RNA", at positions 29 to 507 of the family's 1533-position model. The record is from RNAcentral.
AGUGAACGCUGGCGGUAGGCCUAACACAUGCAAGUCGAACGGCAGCACAGUAAGAGCUUGCUCUUACGGGUGGCGAGUGGCGGACGGGUGAGGAAUACAUCGGACUCUACUUUUUCGUGGGGGAUAACGUAGGGAAACUUACUCUAAUACCGCAUACGACCUACGGGUGAAAGCAGUGGAUCUUCGCACCUUGCGCGAUUGAAUGAGCCGAUGUCGGAUUAGCUAGUUGGCGGGGUAAAGGCCCACCAAGGCGACGAUCCGUAGCUGGUCUGAGAGGAUGAUCAGCCACACUGGAACUGAGACACGGUCCAGACGCCUACGGGAGGCAGCAGUGGGGAAUAUUGGACAAAGGGCGCAAGCCUGAUACAGCCAUACCGCGUGGGUGAAGAAGGCCUUCGGGUUGUAAAGCCCUUUUGUUGGGAAAGAAAAGCAGCAGGUUAAUACCCCGCUGUUCUGACGGUACCCAAAGAAUAAGCACCGGCUAACUUCGUG